AGCUCCAAUAGCGUAUAUUUUAGUUGUUGCAGUUAAAAAGCUCGUAGCCGUAUUUCUGGUGGGAGAAUGCAGUCCGACUUUAUGUCGGUACUCGCAUCCUCCGGCCAUCCUUGGGUCUAGCCAGUUUGGCAUUAAGUUGUCGAGCUGGGGAUGCCCAUCGUUUACUGUGAAAAAAUUAGAGUGUUCAAAGCAGACUUAUGUCGUUGAAUAUAUUAGCAUGGAAUAAUAAAAUAGGACAUCAGUGCUAUUUUGUUGGUUUGCGCACCGAUGUAAUGAUAAAUAGGAACAGUUGUGGCUAUUCGUAUUCAGUUGUCAGAGGUGAAAUUCUUAGAUUUACGGAAGACGAACUACUGCGAAAGCAUUUACCAAGGAUGUUUUCA
RNAcentral lists this ribosomal RNA (380 nucleotides) under uncultured marine Chaetocerotaceae. RNAcentral describes it as "SSU rRNA". It matches the Rfam family "Eukaryotic small subunit ribosomal RNA", at positions 587 to 972 of the family's 1831-position model. The record is from RNAcentral. Lineage: Eukaryota; Bacillariophyta; Thalassiosirophyceae; Chaetocerotales; Chaetocerotaceae.